UACGUAGGGUGCGAGCGUUAAUCGGAAUUAUUGGGCGUAAAGCGCACGUAGGCGGCUUUGCAAGUCGGAUGUGAAAUCCCUCGGCUUAACCAAGGAAGUGCAUCCGAAACUGCAGAGCUUGAGUACUUAAGAGGAUCGCGGAAUUCCCGGUGUAGAGGUGAAAUUCGUAGAUAUCGGGAGGAACACCAGUGGCGAAGGCGGCGAUCUGGGAAGAUACUGACGCUGAGGUGCGAAAGCGUGGGGAGCAAACAGG
Molecule: ribosomal RNA, 253 nt
Filed under: uncultured bacterium
Lineage: Bacteria
Description: partial 16S ribosomal RNA
Rfam family: Bacterial small subunit ribosomal RNA
Source: RNAcentral